CAGCCGCCGCGGUAAUACGAAGGGUGCAAGCGUUACUCGGAAUUACUGGGCGUAAAGCGUGCGUAGGUGGUUGUUUAAGUCCGUUGUGAAAGCCCUGGGCUCAACCUGGGAAUUGCAGAGGAUACUGGGUCACUAGAGUGUGGUAGAGGAUAGUGGAAUUUCCGGUGUAGCAGUGAAAUGCGUAGAGAUCGGAAGGAACAUCUGUGGCGAAGGCGACUAUCUGGGCCAACACUGACACUGAGGCACGAAAGCGUGGGGAGCAAACAGGAUUAGAUACCCGGGUAGUCCCUGUCUCUUAUAA
RNAcentral lists this ribosomal RNA (301 nucleotides) under uncultured bacterium. Its description in RNAcentral is "partial 16S ribosomal RNA". It matches the Rfam family "Bacterial small subunit ribosomal RNA", at positions 509 to 809 of the family's 1533-position model. The record is from RNAcentral.